RNAcentral lists this antisense RNA (75 nucleotides) under Streptomyces rubellomurinus. RNAcentral describes it as "ASpks TB sRNA". It matches the Rfam family "ASpks TB sRNA". The record is from Rfam by way of RNAcentral. Lineage: Bacteria; Bacillati; Actinomycetota; Actinomycetes; Kitasatosporales; Streptomycetaceae. RNAcentral also lists the same sequence under 2 other names.
CUUCAACGCGCCCAGCCACAGCGGCCGUUCGGGGCUGCGGCCCCGCCCGUACGUGGCGAUCAGGGCCUGCGCCUC